GCCCCUGUAGACCAAUAGGCAGAGUCGGCAGUCUUAGACACUGUGCGUUGGAGGUUCGAGUCCUCUCAGGGGUACCC
RNAcentral lists this transfer RNA (77 nucleotides) under Deltaproteobacteria bacterium. RNAcentral's name for it is "tRNA-Leu". It matches the Rfam family "tRNA". Rfam says of the family: Transfer RNA (tRNA) molecules are approximately 80 nucleotides in length. Their secondary structure includes four short double-helical elements and three loops (D, anti-codon, and T loops). The record is from RNAcentral. Lineage: Bacteria; Pseudomonadati; Myxococcota; Myxococcia.